RNAcentral lists this ribosomal RNA (431 nucleotides) under uncultured bacterium. RNAcentral's name for it is "partial 16S ribosomal RNA". It matches the Rfam family "Bacterial small subunit ribosomal RNA", at positions 29 to 507 of the family's 1533-position model. The record is from RNAcentral.
AACGAACGCUGGCGGCAGGCUUAACACAUGCAAGUCGAACGCCCCGCAAGGGGAGUGGCGCACGGGUGAGUAACGCGUGGAUAUCUGCCUUUUGGUUCGGAAUAACCCCGGGAAACUGGGGCUAAUACCGGAUGGUUCCCACGGGAUAAAGAUUUAUCGCCAAAAGAUGAGUCCGCGUACGAUUAGCUAGUUGGUGAGGUAAUGGCUCACCAAGGCGACGAUCGUUAGCUGGUCUGAGAGGACGAUCAGCCACACUGGGACUGAGACACGGCCCAGACUCCUACGGGAGGCAGCAGUGGGGAAUAUUGGACAAUGGGGGCAACCCUGAUCCAGCCAUGCCGCGUGAGUGAUGAAGGCCUUCGGGUUGUAAAGCUCUUUUGGCGGGGACGAUGAUGACGGUACCCGCAGAAUAAGCCCCGGCUAACUUCGUG